UACCCCACUAUGCUUAGCCUUAAAUCUUGACACUUCCCCAACCAAAGUGUCCGCCUGAGAACUACGAGCACAAACGCUUAAAACUCUAAGGACUUGGCGGUGCCUCAAACCCACCUAGAGGAGCCUGUUCUAUAAUCGAUAACCCACGCUACACCCGGCCGCUCUUUGCAUGUUCAGCCUACAUACCGCCGUCGCCAGUCCACCUAUCUUGAAAGAACAACAGUGAACGCAAUAGCCCUAACCACGCUAAAAAGACAGGUCAAGGUAUAGCCAAUAGAGCGGAAGAAAUGGGCUACAUUUUCUAACCUAGAAAACUACGAAAGGGGUCAUGAAACCACACCCAGAAGGCGGAUUUAGCAGUAAAGUUGGACCAUAGUGCCAUCUUUAAACCGGCCCCGGGGCACGUACAUACCGCCCGUCACCCUCCUCGCAAGCUACUCACAUGAGUAAUUAACACUAAUUCCUAGCCAAAGAUGAGGUAAGUCGUAAC
RNAcentral lists this ribosomal RNA (490 nucleotides) under Tilmatura dupontii. RNAcentral describes it as "partial 12S ribosomal RNA". It matches the Rfam family "Bacterial small subunit ribosomal RNA", at positions 783 to 1492 of the family's 1533-position model. Lineage: Eukaryota; Metazoa; Chordata; Aves; Apodiformes; Trochilidae. The record is from RNAcentral.